RNAcentral lists this ribosomal RNA (443 nucleotides) under uncultured bacterium. RNAcentral's name for it is "partial 16S ribosomal RNA". It matches the Rfam family "Bacterial small subunit ribosomal RNA", at positions 338 to 795 of the family's 1533-position model. The record is from RNAcentral.
CCUACGGGUGGCAGCAGUGGGGAAUAUUGGGCAAUGGGCGCAAGCCUGACCCAGCAACGCCGCGUGAAGGAAGAAGGCUUUCGGGUUGUAAACUUCUUUUCUCAGGGACGAAGCAAGUGACGGUACCUGCGGAAUAAGCCACGGCUAACUACGGGCCAGCAGCCGCGGUAAUACGUAGGGGGCAAGCGUUAUCCGGAUUUACUGGGUGUAAAGGGCGUGUAGGCGGGACUGCAAGUCAGAUGUGAAAGCCACGGGCUCAACCUGUGGCCUGCAUUUGAAACUGGAGUUCUUGAGUACUGGAGAGGCAGGCGGAAUGCCUAGUGUAGCGGUGAAAUGCGUAGAGAUUAGGAGGAACACCAGUGGCGAAGGCGGUCUCCUGGACAGCGACUGACGCUGAGGCGCGAAAGCGUGGGGAGCAAACAGGAUUAGAUACCCUUGUAGUC